Hemicordylus capensis (graceful crag lizard) is the source of this 396-nucleotide long non-coding RNA. RefSeq lists it as uncharacterized. The record is from RefSeq and is a predicted model, not a curated record. NCBI's taxonomy places the organism in Eukaryota, Metazoa, Chordata, Lepidosauria, Squamata, Cordylidae. The transcript is spliced from 4 exons.
CAAAAACGGAUCAGUCUCCUGGCCCGCGGCAGUGAUUUCAGAGGCUGGCAGGGGGUAGGGGAAUCCUCACAACCCCCCCAUGGCAUACAGGAAGCCCCCCGAAGGGGCUAAAGUAGUGUGAAGAGUAGCUUGUGGUACUUCAGUUCAAGCCACAUUCUAUCCAAGAUUGAUGCCUCUACCCUCUGGGGCUGGCACAGUGUUUUGGUUCAGUGUUCCUGUGAUGAGAAAUACUUGUUCAUGUACCUGAGUCAUAGACUGACUGCUACCAAGGCUGCUAACUGGUGAACUACAUGGUGAAAACUCUGUGGUCAAGGCCUACUGCUCCCCACCCCACAAAUCUAUGUUCUGUAAAAAGAUAUAGGAUAUUGUUAUCCUAUUUUGUUAGUUUUGGGUUCA